Long non-coding RNA from Megalobrama amblycephala (Wuchang bream), 576 nucleotides. RefSeq lists it as uncharacterized. The record is from RefSeq and is a predicted model, not a curated record. The transcript is spliced from 3 exons. Lineage: Eukaryota; Metazoa; Chordata; Actinopteri; Cypriniformes; Xenocyprididae.
ACAGCUGAAACAAAACAAAAAAACAAAAACAGAAAAUGAGAUGUAAUGACAAUGUAUAAAUGGAGGAAGAAAUGGACAGUAGAGGACAAACAUCUGAAAAUAUCAAAUGACAUCACUUAAACAGGUCACGGAAAGGAAUAUGAGACUAGUCGUUAACUAAAAAAAGAAAAGUGGUGGGAUUUUUCUGUGUAAAUAUAUAUAUGGGACUUCUGUUGCUUACGUAAGUCAGCAUCACACUCACACACACACACACUCGCACACAUACACACACACACGUGAGGAACAAGAUCUGAGGAGUCUCUUGGAGGACGUGUCUGGAAAUGUUGACUCUUGUCCUCUGUAAUUUCAACAUGAAGGAAAAGAAGGUCAGACUGUUUUGCAUCACAGACACAAAGGCACAGACGACAGCAGCUCUCAUUUGAUCCAAUCAGUAAGACAGUCGCUGCAACGAUGGAGGAGCCCUUUUAAUUAAAUGGGAUCACAGGGACCCCAAGAAGACCUGGCUGUUGGAAAGCAUGUUCAAACAUUCACUGAUGCUCCAGAAGGAAACAAGACGCAUUAAGAGCCGGGGGGUGA